UCCCUGGUGACUCAGUGGUAAAGAAUUCGCCUGCAAUGCAGGAGACCCGGGUUCGAUUCCUGGCGGGGGAA
This 71-nucleotide transfer RNA is filed under the name Bos taurus (domestic cattle). It matches the Rfam family "tRNA". Rfam says of the family: Transfer RNA (tRNA) molecules are approximately 80 nucleotides in length. Their secondary structure includes four short double-helical elements and three loops (D, anti-codon, and T loops). The record is from Rfam by way of RNAcentral. RNAcentral also lists the same sequence under 1 other name. Lineage: Eukaryota; Metazoa; Chordata; Mammalia; Artiodactyla; Bovidae.